This 254-nucleotide ribosomal RNA is filed under the name uncultured bacterium. RNAcentral's name for it is "partial 16S ribosomal RNA". It matches the Rfam family "Bacterial small subunit ribosomal RNA", at positions 524 to 776 of the family's 1533-position model. The record is from RNAcentral.
UACGUAGGGACCAAGCGUUGUUCGGAUUUACUGGGCGUAAAGGGCGCGUAGGCGGCAAUUCAAGUCAGCUGUGAAAUCUCCGGGCUUAACUCGGAACGGUCAGCUGAUACUGCUUUGCUAGAGUGCGGAAGGGGCAAUCGGAAUUCUCGGUAUAGCGGUGAAAUGCGUAGAUAUCGAGAGGAACACCUGAGGUGAAGACGGGUUGCUGGGCCGACACUGACGCUGACAGCGCGAAAGCCAGGGGAGCAAACGGG